GGAUGCGAUCAUACUAGCAGUAAAGCAUCAGAUCCCAUUGAAACUCAGAAGUUAAGCGUGCUUGGGCGAGACUUGUACUAGGAUGGGUGACCUCCUUGGAAGUCCUCGUGUUGCAUUCC
RNAcentral lists this ribosomal RNA (119 nucleotides) under Dichanthelium oligosanthes. Lineage: Eukaryota; Viridiplantae; Streptophyta; Magnoliopsida; Poales; Poaceae. The record is from RNAcentral.